GUGUCAGCCGCCGCGGUAAUACGAAGGGGGCUAGCGUUGUUCGGAUUUACUGGGCGUAAAGCGCACGUAGGCGGAUCGUUAAGUCGGGGGUGAAAUCCUGGAGCUCAACUCCAGAACUGCCUUCGAUACUGGCGAUCUUGAGUCCGGAAGAGGUGAGUGGAACUCCUAGUGUAGAGGUGGAAUUCGUAGAUAUUAGGAAGAACACCAGUGGCGAAGGCGGCUCACUGGUCCGGUACUGACGCUGAGGUGCGAAAGCGUGGGGAGCAAACAGGAUUAGAAACCCCAGUAGUCC
RNAcentral lists this ribosomal RNA (292 nucleotides) under uncultured bacterium. RNAcentral's name for it is "partial 16S ribosomal RNA". It matches the Rfam family "Bacterial small subunit ribosomal RNA", at positions 505 to 796 of the family's 1533-position model. The record is from RNAcentral.